GGAGAGAGUUAACUUAACUUGGUAGCUAUAUUCUCUAGGGUCGCUUAACUGUGGCUGUGGGGGAUGGACGCUACCUGUUGUUGCACUGACUGCGUUGAUCGUGCUUUCCGAACAGUGUAGCGUUGCCCACUUUGUGGUGUCUUGCUCGCUGGGAGGUUUGUCAUGGUUAACGUAUAGCCUUAGUCCCGAGGGAGUCAGUGUGAAAGUUAACCACCUUUCCGACCCGUCUUGAAACACGGACCGAGGAGUGUUGGUUAUACGCGAGUCAAGGAGUGGUGAAAACUCUAGGGGCGGAAUGAAAGUAAAGACUAGUUAACUAGUUGACAUGGGAUCCGCUCUUCGGAGCGGCGCACCAUGGCCCUGUCUUGUCUGCUUGCAGAUGGGCAGCGGUAGAGCGUAUAGCUUGCGACCCGAAAGAUGGUGAACUAUGCUUGAGCAGGACGAAGCCAGAGGAAACUCUGGUGGAAGUCCGUAUCGGUUCUGACGUGCAAAUCGAUCGAUAGACUUGAGUAUAGGGGCGAAAGACUAAUCGAACUAUCUGUA
This 543-nucleotide ribosomal RNA is filed under the name Heterorhabditis zealandica. RNAcentral describes it as "partial large subunit ribosomal RNA". It matches the Rfam family "Eukaryotic large subunit ribosomal RNA", at positions 421 to 949 of the family's 3401-position model. The record is from RNAcentral. Lineage: Eukaryota; Metazoa; Nematoda; Chromadorea; Rhabditida; Heterorhabditidae.